RNAcentral lists this long non-coding RNA (411 nucleotides) under Elaeis guineensis (African oil palm). RNAcentral describes it as "long non-coding RNA (EGUI_LNC050249)". The record is from RNAcentral. Lineage: Eukaryota; Viridiplantae; Streptophyta; Magnoliopsida; Arecales; Arecaceae.
CCUAUGUAGUUAUCUACUUGUCUCCUAGACCUUAAGGUGUGAAUUACAUUUAAUUGAUUGAUCUGAGCUCCUUAUUGCGGUCCUUGAUUAUUUUGGAUCCUAGGGUUGCCUCAGACUGACUCGGUAGUUUAUCUUUUUUUCUUUCACUCACAACCAUGGCUAAUUGAUCUAAUGCAUAUCUAAAUGAGCAAUAGCUUAGAUGUUGAAAGUUAAAAGCUGGCCCAUGGUCUGCAUGAAGUUAUUUGGUGUAGUGUUGGUAUUGGCAGUUGAUUUCAUCAGAACUUCUAGACUUUUUUUUAGCGAGUUAAGCCUUUGAUCAUUAUGAAAAUCUGAUGGGUUAUUUGAUGAUUGAGUGGGCCUAGGGUUGGGCUAAGUGAAGGCAAAUCUACUUGUGUUUGACACUUGUGACCA